This 755-nucleotide long non-coding RNA is filed under the name Salvia miltiorrhiza (redroot sage). RNAcentral describes it as "long non-coding RNA (SMIL_LNC011528)". Lineage: Eukaryota; Viridiplantae; Streptophyta; Magnoliopsida; Lamiales; Lamiaceae. The record is from RNAcentral.
CAUACUUGCCCUCAAGUAUGAAGUGAAGAAAAGACUCAAUAGUAGAAACAAUUAUCUAGACACGACCUUCCCCCCGACUCAACACACAAACACACGGAAAGGAAAAAGAAAUAUGGAAGAUAAGAAGUGAGACACGAAAACACAACAGCCAAGUAAAUGCCAACUGCUAGCUUGUAACUUAUACUGCCAAGAUGAACUAAGUAAUUCAUAAAUAACUCUCAACCUUCAAAAUGAAAAAUUAGAAUCUCAAGAAUGCAUCUCUAUCAUCAAAUUAGUCAAAAUCAGGCAAUAGCAAGUACAGCUCACGACUUCACUCAUUCGCUCAAAUUGCAAUUAAGGACAUUCACACAUACAAGAAAAGAUCCACUCAGUCAUGAUAUGUCGCGGUCAAAUAGUGACUCAAAAAGGACUUUGUUCAUUUGGCGUAAUGGGGCUAGGGACCAUUCAUAAGAUUGGAAGGAUCUAAAGGGGUUCCUAGGCUCAAGCAAUGAAAAUCAAAGUGUGCACAUCUAAUCCAAACCAUCAUCCACAAUUUCAAGUUCAUAGAGAAAGAAAGCAACCAAACUUAGGGGAAAAACUCCAACAAUAACAAUGAUACUACAUGCUCAACUCAAACUGGUGCAACAUCUUUUCUCUUUUCUUUUCUUUUCUUUUUUUUCGUAUUUUUUUUUCUCUUUUUUUCUUUUUCUAGCAGCACCCUUCUUUUUUUAAUAUCUCCAAUCAACAUGCAAUCAUCAUCUACAAAAUAUCCCCAC